RNAcentral lists this long non-coding RNA (466 nucleotides) under Mytilus galloprovincialis (Mediterranean mussel). The record is from RNAcentral. Lineage: Eukaryota; Metazoa; Mollusca; Bivalvia; Mytilida; Mytilidae.
AAACUAACAGCCUAAUUAUACAUAACGAAACAAUUUCCAAAAUAUCAAAUAUGAGUCGAGACAUGAACCAACGGCAACCACUAGACUACAGCUCCUGACUGGACAGGUAAAAAUAUGGCAGGGUUUGCUAUAGAAACGAAGAUGUGGUAUGAUUGCAAAUGAGACAACUCUCCACAAGAGACCAAAUGACACAGAAAUCAACAGCUAUAAGUCACCGUACGGCCUUCUACAAUAAUAUAAGCCUACAUCGCAUAGUCAGCUAUAAAAGGCCCCGAAAUCACAAAUGUAAAACAAUUCAAUCGAGAAAACUAACGGCCGAAUUAAUGUACAAGAAAAUGAACGAACACAAAUAUGUAUAACAAAGCAACAAACGGCAACCACUGAAUCACAGGCUCCUGACUUGGGACAAGCACAUACAUACAGAAUGUGGCGGGGUUAAUGUUAGCGGGAUCCCAAAUCCCCCCCC